CGUGAGGGAAAGGCGAAAAGAACCCCGGCGAGGGGAGUGAAAAAGAACCUGAAACCGUGUACGUACAAGCAGUGGGAGCACGCUUAGGCGUGUGACUGCGUACCUUUUGUAUAAUGGGUCAGCGACUUAUAUUCUGUAGCAAGGUUAACCGAAUAGGGGAGCCGAAGGGAAACCGAGUCUUAACUGGGCGUUAAGUUGCAGGGUAUAGACCCGAAACCCGGUGAUCUAGCCAUGGGCAGGUUGAAGGUUGGGUAACACUAACUGGAGGACCGAACCGACUAAUGUUGAAAAAUUAGCGGAUGACUUGUGGCUGGGGGUGAAAGGCCAAUCAAACCGGGAGAUAGCUGGUUCUCCCCGAAAGCUAUUUAGGUAGCGCCUCGUGAAUUCAUCUCCGGGGGUAGAGCACUGUUUCGGCAAGGGGGUCAUCCCGACUUACCAACCCGAUGCAAACUGCGAAUACCGGAGAAUGUUAUCACGGGAGACACACGGCGGGUGCUAACGUCCGUCGUGAAGAGGGAAACAACCCAGACCGCCAGCUAAGGUCCCAAAGUCAUGGUUAAGUGGGAAACGAUGUGGGAAGGCCCAGACAGCCAGGAUGUUGGCUUAGAAGCAGCCAUCAUUUAAAGAAAGCGUAAUAGCUCACUGGUCGAGUCGGCCUGCGCGGAAGAUGUAACGGGGCUAAACCAUGCACCGAAGCUGCGGCAGCGACGCUUAUGCGUUGUUGGGUAGGGGAGCGUUCUGUAAGCCUGUGAAGGUGUGCUGUGAGGCAUGCUGGAGGUAUCAGAAGUGCGAAUGCUGACAUAAGUAACGAUAAAGCGGGUGAAAAGCCCGCUCGCCGGAAGACCAAGGGUUCCUGUCCAACGUUAAUCGGGGCAGGGUGAGUCGACCCCUAAGGCGAGGCCGAAAGGCGUAGUCGAUGGGAAACAGGUUAAUAUUCCUGUACUUGGUGUUACUGCGAAGGGGGGACGGAGAAGGCUAUGUUGGCCGGGCGACGGUUGUCCCGGUUUAAGCGUGUAGGCUGGUUUUCCAGGCAAAUCCGGAAAAUCAAGGCUGAGGCGUGAUGACGAGGCACUACGGUGCUGAAGCAACAAAUGCCCUGCUUCCAGGAAAAGCCUCUAAGCAUCAGGUAA
Molecule: ribosomal RNA, 1130 nt
Filed under: Escherichia coli
Lineage: Bacteria; Pseudomonadati; Pseudomonadota; Gammaproteobacteria; Enterobacterales; Enterobacteriaceae
Description: partial 23S ribosomal RNA
Rfam family: Bacterial large subunit ribosomal RNA
Source: RNAcentral